UUGUGUGAGGCUGUGUGAAUUACCUAAAGUUAAACUUAAGAAUCAUAAGAUUAAUUGAAUCAUCUUAAUUAAUUAAUUAAUCGUCUUAAUUAAUUGAAUGUAUGUACUCUGAGUGUAUGUGAGUCCCUAGGGCAGCUGGCUGGACCGAGUACGGACGGAAGGGAAAAGUAGGCAUAAAUCGGUACAAGAUAGGCUAAGCAGGCCGGAACAGCAGGACAAGGUAGGAGGAAAUCAUUUGGCUGUGAGGGAUAACUUAGUGGAUUUAAGGGGGGCAUGUAGAAAAGACUCUAAGGGCUGAGAGGUGUGAGACGCGACCAGAGUUAUGGCUGAAUGUAAGAAAGAGAUGAGCCCGAUAGAUAGGGUGAUAAGCAAACACUGUACAGAUGAGAAGGACAUUAGGCAUUAUUGUAAAAAAUGGAGUGAGAAGACUAGUGGUGAGUGGAAAUGGCCCGAGGAAGGUACUCUUGAUGAACAGCUAUGCCAGAUAAUGAAAGAGAGAUUAGCUGUAUGGAAUGAACAGAAAAAAGACUUGAGAGUGAGGGAGAAAUGUGUGAAGACAGAGAAGAUAGUGGACUGGUUUGUGAACGCAGCGAAAGAGGAGAAGGAGAAGAAUAGGCGGCAGAGAGAACGAGCAGAGGCGGUGGUACGGAAGAAAGAAGAAAGGGAAGCAAGCCUAGGAAAAAAGAUAAAAGAGGCCAUUCAGAAAGAAUGGGCCGAGGCCCCGUCCCCAUAUAACCCUCAGUACCGCCCUCCAGUGAGACCUGUCAGAAGUGCCCCACCUGCCGGGCUCUACAUGAUGCAAGACCUGGAGGACAGAGAAGAUGAAUGGAAGGAAACCGAGGUGGACAUACAGGGAACAUUCACCGGAUACCAAAGAAUGAGGCAUCGCAUGCGGGAGGAUGGAGAACCUACCAAAUGGAAGAAGGAGCUGCCGGAUACGAGGAUAGAACCCCAGUCGAGAGCGAAAGCCCACGGCUGGACCUCCCACAUGUAGGCAACAAAGAGAGGGACUGGGAACUACAGGAGUAUAUGAAAAACUGGACCCACACUCUGGGGUGGCCAGAGCACGGGGAGAUUCUCACCAGCACUAGCACCCCGAGGCCAGGGUCACGGCCGAUGGUGCACAAGCAAAGAGACAAGAAACUGGAGGAAAUACAGGAGCAGGAGGAGCAUAGGACCAGUGAAAAUCAAGAAGGUCGUAGGAGUGAGAGAGAGCACGAAGGUGAAAACGGAGCACAAGGGGCUCCACACACCAGAGGAGGAGAAACAUGGGAGCCGAGAGACAAUGUGGGGUGGGUGGUCCAUAUAGAGGGGGAUGUGGCGCUCUCACCAUAUGAGUAGGAUAAGGAAUUGGAGGACGGGAUAUCAUACGGCGUGGGUAAAAUGGAUGAAUUGAAAAAUCUCGCAGGUCAAGCAUUCCAAAUGGCGAUGGCUGUGAAAAAUAAGUAUGCGCACAAGCCCCAUUUGGGAGAAUCAAAAUCACAGAGGUCGAGAAGAGCACUGAACCAGCCAGCAGGAAAACAUGUGAAGAGCCUGAGUAAGGCCUCAAAGGUCCUAAUAUACCACCAGCAGAAGAAGAAGCAAGGAGUUCAGACAUGGAUCUGGAUGAACAAGGGGGGACUGAGAGCAAGGGGACUGAAACAGACAAUGAAGGAAAAGUUCAACAAGACAUCAGUGAGGAGGAGGACUCAAGGGCCACCCACCCGAUAAAGAUGGAGCCUAGUGAAGCUAGAGCACUACAGAGCAGGGCAAGCCUGAGGCCCUCAGUGAGAUUCCAACCUGGUAUCACAGCGUACGAGCCCAGCCUGAAUCAGGUUGGGUGGUCACCCCCAGGUCAGAUGCCCCUCAUGAUUAAAGGAAAAGCCCUACAUUAUGCACCCUGGAGUUUCAUCAACCUAACGGGCCUGAUCCAACGACUACCCAACAUAUGUGAAGGGGGGCAGAAAUGGAUUACACAGUUCGAGGAAAAAACAUCAGGACAGCACCUGGCGAUUGGCGAUAUCAAAGCCAUUCUCUGCCAAAGAGUGGGCAAGGGACGGGCUGAAGAGAUUUUCGAUAGGGCAGAACACAGGGAUUUGAUAGACGACCCCAAGGCUGACGCCAUCCCGUUUGGCCUGUACCGACAAGAAAUAUGGGACGCUGUGAGGAGUAUGUUUCCGGCUAAGAUGGACCCUGGGAAGCUCGAAAAUAUAAAACUGAAAGACAAAGAAAACGUGAUAACCUUCAUACAAGAGUUUCAAGACAAAUGGAGGGAUGAAACGGGUGCCAAAUGGGACGAUUCGGUGGCAAGUGUGGGACUGUUCAAACUGCUGUUGAAGAAGACUCUCCCUGGGGAGGUACAGCAGAAGUUAGAGGAAGUGGUGGGGCUCAACGCAAUGGAAUGGGCUUCAUUUCUGGCACAUAUGACCCAUCACCAAUCCAUAGACAUUUGUAUUCACAGGUGCGUGAGGCAGUCCAUGGAGAGAACAGGUACGGGAGGACAUGCGUCUAGUGGCACCCGGGGACCAGGUAUACAUUCGUGUUUUCAAGAGGAAGAGCCCCCUUGCGGGACGUCGGGAAGGACCCUUCACCAUGGUUGCUGCAACCCCCAUGGCUGUGAAAGUUGAGGGGAGGAAUUACUGGUAUCACUUGAACCACUGCAGCCGCGCCGAACCAGGUAAGGGACCGCUACUGCAAGACACUACCGACGAACAACCAUCGACCUCAGGUCUAGUCAGUACAAGGCAGCCCAUUGAGGCAGUGGUGUUCACUGAUAGUGACAGUGAUUCGGAUGCAUCCCUGAGCCCUGCCUACGGCACUCAAGCCCAGACUAAGCGGCGGGCUGUGGAAAAACUAGAUAAACUGUCUCAGUCUGAUGCCAGUAGCCCAACCGGCCCUCUGCUUCUUUCCACUCCUUGCUAUGAUAUGGACCUUGUUCUCUCGCCCCGAGUAGAAGUGAUGGGUGUCGUAGUUACCAGCCCACAGGAAUUUGUAACCCCAACGGAGGAGGAUUUUCUGUCUACGCUUGCCACUCUCUGUCAGGACCUUGACGACCCCGCUUUGCCUCUGAGCCUAAUUGACUUGGAUACGCUGCAGUCCCUAGAAGCACAGUUGAGCUUACCUGGGCUUACUCCUGAACUUCAGUCUCCGCAUGAAUCCUUGCACAAUCCCCUACCACCAGUUCCGGAGGGGACCGGUGGCACGAGCUCCGCAGAAUAGUAGCACAUAUGGUGUAGGGUGAUCUUUGCAGCAGGGCUAAUAGCACUCUUUUUCUUUUUCUACGACCCAAUGUUCAGAAGGACUAUUCAUACCUUCAAUAAUUCCCUGGACUCCUAUAACACGUUACGUCCACGAUUGGCUGCUACUUCCCGCACAGCCCCCUAUCCCCGUAUUAGGCAUGUUCGAUCCUGGACGGCCCCUGGCUUAAAUGUAGGUUCAUGUAGCUCGAUGUGCGUGUUAGCUCUCCUUAGACUCGCCCAUGAAGAGUCCCUGAUUGGUAGAAGUCCCUAUUUAGCCUCAUUCACUUUCUCCCAAGCUCGAUCUGCGGAGAUUUGCGUGGGACAUCUUAGAAUUACUGGUAGGGCACUGACGAGUAGGUGCUCCUUUGAGCUGCCCACUAUUGGCCCCCUGUGGCUACUGUUCCUUUGCUCGGCUACGGUGUGUUCUUACCAUGAUAGUACAGGGUCACCUUUCACAUCCCGGGCUCUCCACCCCCUCCUCAUUGCCCCGAUGUCAACUGCGAUCGCACAUAAAUUAAUGAAAUUACAAUACUAUUCAAUCUCCACUGAUAACACCUCACUUACGGAGGAGCAGAGUAACAUGUGGAACAUGUAACAUGGGAAACGUGUCUGCCCGAUGUAAUGUCUCCCUGUUCACUAAUGAUUUACAAAUUGAGACCCUCUCUGUCUGUGAUUCAUCCCCAUGCACCCCCAGUGUGACAAUUCCCCUAGCUGACCUUAGUGUUGGUACUGUUCCCCUUGCGGAUGUUUUAUGGUUUUGUGGGGGCCAACGUGUACGCCAGACUGCCUGCGGAAUGGCAGGGGUACUGCGCCCCAGUUAGGUUGGACAGUAAGACCCAUGUUUUGGUGGUGGCUGACCAACCGUCAUCCAGCCGGUCCCGUUCACGCUGCGACGUGGCCCUGUGGACUCAGCAUGUCCGUGAUGCUGGUGCAGCGAGCUAUUCUGACUGGGCCGCUGAUGAGACCAUCCAUCUUGACUUUGGGGGCACCCUCGUUGGCGUUCCUGCUCGCUACAGAGCCAUGGAGGCCGUUGGCAGUGGUGUAGCAUCUAUUUUGCUCCCGGCCGUGCAGAUCAACCGCAACGUGGCAUGGAUUAAUUACAUUAGGUACAAUGAGCAACGCUUCAUUAACUACUCGGUGAGUGCUCUCGGACUGGUCCGUGAUCAGCUCCAUGCCACUUCCCUCAUGGCUGCUCAGAACCGUUUUGUCCUGGACCAGAUGCGUGCCCCUGAGGAGGGUGUCUGUGCAAUGAUUGGUCCCGAGUGCUGUGCUGUGAUCCCUUUGCACACUGGUUCUGAGGGUGCUCUCUCCAAGUCCGGCUCUAAUCUCCGCCUCCCGCCGUGGCUCUCCUGGUUUCUUUCUGGAGAUUGGACUGCUGCCCUGACCCACUUGGGAGUGUCCCUGCUCGCCCUCCUUCUGCUUGUGGGUCUGGUGGCCUGCUGUGUGAUCCCCUGCGCAUGACGGAUGGUGAUGUCCUCUGCCUCAUUUUCUGGCCAGUACAUUGUUAAAGGUGAGGCGUUACCACCUCAACAGGGGGUGGUGAUCGAGACCAUGCAACGGGAGACUAUGAUCAGCAUACAUCAUGGGGGGUGGGGGGGGGUCUACGAGGACAUGAGACGGGACAUGAGCCAGGACUGAUGAGGACAGUGCAAGGGAGCGCAAGGACCCGUUUGUACAAGGUAGUGGCCAACUGGGCCUAUCCGAGAAAAAAACGGGACCUAUUGGUGUUUUGUAUGUGUUCAUCUGUGUUGCAGAUCUACUGAACCCUGAGGGGUGAGAAGAAGAUGUGAUGAUCCAUACCCUGGGUGUAAGUGCUAGCCUAACCUCUCCCCAAAGGGUGGUUCUCUACAGUACGUAAAGUGCUUGAGCCGAAGACAACCGGAAUACAGAGAGAUACUGCCGAUAUCUGUCAUGUCGAUUGUUAUAAAAUGUUGUGAUAUGCGAUAUGAUAUGUGAUGGCGUAUGACCUGUGAUGUGCAAUAAAGUGUGACGUAAUCAGGCACGAGAAAAGUAUAAUGGUGCUGUCGAGCACAUAGUGCCAGCAGGGUGGGAAUUUUUCCUCAUAGGAGAUUUUUUCACCCACCCCUGACUGCAAAGGAUUGGGGUUUGUUUUUUUUGGGGGAAGCAAGACUCUGCAGGUCCUGACAAAUACAAAACUGUGGUCUGACAGGCCUAGUUGAGAAAGAUAGGGAUGUGUAGAUCCAAUCAAGUAGUUACUGUAGUGGCCACUCAUACUUAAACUAGCAAUGGCAGUAGUAGUAGUAGUAAAGUAAUUAGGGGAACUCAGUUAAUCACACUUAUAAUCGAUGUAGGCAACAAAUGUAUAAUCAAGGUAGUUAGAUUCGAAAUAAC
Ictalurus punctatus (channel catfish) is the source of this 5570-nucleotide long non-coding RNA. Lineage: Eukaryota; Metazoa; Chordata; Actinopteri; Siluriformes; Ictaluridae. The record is from Ensembl.